RNAcentral lists this ribosomal RNA (1318 nucleotides) under uncultured organism. RNAcentral's name for it is "SSU rRNA". It matches the Rfam family "Bacterial small subunit ribosomal RNA", at positions 28 to 1345 of the family's 1533-position model. The record is from RNAcentral.
GAUGAACGCUGGCGGCGUGCUUAACACAUGCAAGUCGAACGAAGCACUUUAUUUGAUUUCCUUCGGGACUGAUUAUUUUGUGACUGAGUGGCGGACGGGUGAGUAACGCGUGGGUAACCUGCCUUGUACAGGGGGAUAACAGUUGGAAACGGCUGCUAAUACCGCAUAAGCGCACAGCAUCGCAUGAUGCAGUGUGAAAAACUCCGGUGGUAUAAGAUGGACCCGCGUUGGAUUAGCUAGUUGGUGAGGUAACGGCCCACCAAGGCGACGAUCCAUAGCCGACCUGAGAGGGUGACCGGCCACAUUGGGACUGAGACACGGCCCAAACUCCUACGGGAGGCAGCAGUGGGGAAUAUUGCACAAUGGGCGAAAGCCUGAUGCAGCGACGCCGCGUGAGCGAAGAAGUAUUUCGGUAUGUAAAGCUCUAUCAGCAGGGAAGAUAAUGACGGUACCUGACUAAGAAGCACCGGCUAAAUACGUGCCAGCAGCCGCGGUAAUACGUAUGGUGCAAGCGUUAUCCGGAUUUACUGGGUGUAAAGGGAGCGCAGGCGGUGCGGCAAGUCUGAUGUGAAAGCCCGGGGCUCAACCCCGGUACUGCAUUGGAAACUGUCGUACUAGAGUGUCGGAGGGGUAAGCGGAAUUCCUAGUGUAGCGGUGAAAUGCGUAGAUAUUAGGAGGAACACCAGUGGCGAAGGCGGCUUACUGGACGAUAACUGACGCUGAGGCUCGAAAGCGUGGGGAGCAAACAGGAUUAGAUACCCCUGGUAUCCACGCCGUAAACGAUGAAUCCUGGGUGUUGGGAAGCAUUGCUUCUCGGUGCCGUCGCAAACGCAGUAAGUAUUCCUCCUGGGGAGUACGUUCGCAAGAAUGAAACUCAAAGGAAUUGACGGGGACCCGCACAAGCGGUGGAGCAUGUGGUUUAAUUUGAAGCAACGCGAAGAACCUUACCAAGUCUUGACAUCCUUCUGACCGGUACUUAAUCGUACCUUCUCUUCGGAGCAGGAGUGACAGGUGGUGCAUGGUUGUCGUCAGCUCGUGUCGUGAGAUGUUGGGUUAAGUCCCGCAACGAGCGCAACCCUUAUCUUUAGUAGCCAGCGGUUUAGCCGGGCACUCUAGAGAGACUGCCAGGGAUAACUUGGAGGAAGGCGGGGAUGACGUCAAAUCAUCAUGCCCCUUAUGACUUGGGCUACACACGUGCUACAAUGGCGUAAACAAAGGGAAGCAAAGCUGUGAAGCCGAGCAAAUCUCAAAAAUAACGUCUCAGUUCGGACUGUAGUCUGCAACCCGACUACACGAAGCUGGAAUCGCUAGUAAUCGC